Molecule: ribosomal RNA, 460 nt
Filed under: uncultured bacterium
Lineage: Bacteria
Description: partial 16S ribosomal RNA
Rfam family: Bacterial small subunit ribosomal RNA
Source: RNAcentral
CCUACGGGUAGCAGCAGUGAGGAAUAUUGGUCAAUGGGCGCGAGCCUGAACCAGCCAAGUAGCGUGAAGGAUGACUGGCCUACGGGUUGUAAACUUCUUUUAUAAAGGAAUAAAGUGAGGCACGUGUGCCUUUUUGUAUGGACUUUAUGAAUAAGGAUCGGCUAACUCCGUGCUAGCAGCAGCGGUAAUACGGAGGGACCGAGCGUUAUCCGGAUUUAUUGGGUUUAAAGGGAGCGCAGAUGGGUUGUUAAGUCAGUUGUGAAAGUUUGCGGCUCAACCGUAAAAUUGCAAUUGAUACUGGCAGCCUUGAGUACAGUUGAGGUAGGCGGAAUUCGUGGUGUAGCGGUGAAAUGCUUAGAUAUCACGAAGAACUCCGAUUGCGAAGGCAGCUUACUAAACUGCCACUGACAUUGAUGCUCGAAAGUGUGGGUAUCAAACAGGAUUAGAUACCCUUGUAGUC